GUGCAGGAACGUGAUGAGGAAGUAAAAGGAAUUACAAAAUGGUUGACAGGGUAACUGUCCUUUGAGUAAAGUUUAAAAAUCUCUUGGAUAUUAUUCCGAUUUAUCAGAUUUAGAGUGAGUGAACUCUGAUGACAUGGUUAGAACUCUAAAAACUACAUUUCCCAUGAGCUCUCUCUGCCAUCGCUUUAGAAAAUCAGGGAAAUCCAGAACCCUCCUAAUUGCUGUGACUAGAAACAAGGAACAUUUCUGAAUGUAUCAAACACUUUUCCACUUACAAAAACCACACCAAGAAAUGUUAUGAUUUAGAAAAGUUUAUUUUAAUAUGCACAGCUAGAUCGACAUGAUGAAUGAGGUUUGCAUGAUGGGAAGAUUUAUGAUGGUUUAUGAAGGUCGAGGAGUGAAGGGAUGAGGGUAAGAGUCGAGGAGAGAAGGGAUGAAGGUAAGGGUAGAGGGAGGAAGGUAAGAGUCGAGGAGAGAAGGGAUGAAGGUAAGGGUCAAGGAGUGAAGGGAUGAAAGAAAGGGUCGAGGGAGGAAGGGAGGAAGGUAAGGGUCAAGGAGUGAAGGGAUGAAGGAAAGGGUCGAGGGAGGAAGUUAAGGGUAUAGGAGUGAAGGGAUGAAGGUAAGGGUCAAAGAGUGAAGGGAGGAAGGUAAGAGUCGAGAAGAGAAGGGAUGAAGGAAAGGGUCGAGGGAGGAAGGUAAGGGUAGAGGAGUGAAGGGAUGAAGGUAAGGGUCAAGGAGUGAAGGGAUGAAGGAAAGGGUCAAGGGAGGAAGGUAUGGGUAGAGGAGUGAAGGGAUGAAGGUAAGGGUCAAAGAGUGAAGGGAUGAAGGUAAGGGUCAAGGAGUGAAGGGAUGAAGGGAUGAAGGUAAGGGUCGAGGAGUGAAGGGAUGAAGGUAAGGGUCGAGGAGUGAAGGGAUGAAGGUAAGGGUUGAGGGAUUCAAACCAUUGUAAGGUUGGCUAAAAGUAAACAAUAAACACCGGACAUAAUUCAUAAAUUUGUACUUUGGGAGCAGAGAACGUGAAUGAAGAAAUCAUUUCUGGUACAGUGAACACUUUUAGGACCUCAGGUGACCUUUACAAGAAACAAACACCCCCUGCUGCUGAGACGGUUACCUUCAUAUAAACAGUCAGGAGUAAUGUGUGUGUUUGUGUG
Molecule: long non-coding RNA, 1151 nt
Organism: Labrus mixtus (cuckoo wrasse)
Lineage: Eukaryota; Metazoa; Chordata; Actinopteri; Labriformes; Labridae
Exons: 3
Source: RefSeq, a predicted model, not a curated record